This 406-nucleotide ribosomal RNA is filed under the name uncultured bacterium. RNAcentral's name for it is "partial 16S ribosomal RNA". It matches the Rfam family "Bacterial small subunit ribosomal RNA", at positions 30 to 526 of the family's 1533-position model. The record is from RNAcentral.
AUUGAACGCUGGCGGCAGACCUAACACAUGCAAGUCGAACGAGUGGCGGACGGGAGAGUUAUGUCUGGGAACCGGCCUGAUGGAGGGGGAUAACUACUGGAAACGGUAGCUAAUACCGCAUAGCAUAGGAUGUGCCCCGAUGGGAUUAGCUAGUUGGUGGGGUAACGGCGCACCACGGCGACGAUCCCUAGCUGGGCUGAGAGGAUGACCAGCCACACUGGAACUUAGACACGGGCCAGACUCCUACGGGAGGCAGCAGUGGGGAAGAUUGGACAAUGGGCGAAAGCCUGAUUCAGCCAUGCCGCGUGUAUGAAGAAGGCCUUCGGGUUGUAAAGUACUUUCAGUGGGGAGGCGUUACCCGCAGAAGAAGCACCGGCUAACUCCGUGCCAGCAGCCGCGGUAAUUC